CCUACGGUAGACAGCAGUCGAGAAUCAUUCACAAUGGGGGAAACCCUGAUGGUGCGACGCCGCGUGGGGGAAUGAAGGUCUUCGGAUUGUAAACCCCUGUCAUGUGGGAGCAAAUUAAAAAGAUAGUACCACAAGAGGAAGAGACGGCUAACUCCGUGCCAGCAGCUGCGGUAAUACAGAGGUCUCAAGCGUUGUUCGGAAUCACUGGGCGUAAAGCGUGCGUAGGCUGUUUCGUAAGUCGUGUGUGAAAGGCGCGGGCUCAACCCGCGGACGGCACAUGAUACUGCGAGACUAGAGUAAUGGAGGGGGAACCGGAAUUCUCGGUGUAGCAGGGAAAUGCGUAGAUAUCGAGAGGAACACUCGUGGCGAAGGCGGGUUCCUGGACAUUAACUGACGCUGAGGCACGAAGGCCAGGGGAGCGAAAGGGAUUAGAUACCCCUGUAGUC
Molecule: ribosomal RNA, 446 nt
Filed under: uncultured bacterium
Lineage: Bacteria
Description: partial 16S ribosomal RNA
Rfam family: Bacterial small subunit ribosomal RNA
Source: RNAcentral